AAGCAUGGAUGAUGCUUUUCUAUGGAUCUGAAUUAAGGGAAAAAUGCCCCCUUUUCCAUCACCAGAGAGGUUUAACGCAAGGAAAACUACUCUUUUCCCCAAUAUCUGAGGGGUUUAAAUUAAAGGGGAGAAGCCAUUUCUUUACCACUGCAUCUGUUUAAAUGCAGUUAGCUGUCCCAUUUGCUCAUUUUAAGUGUUGCCUUUUCCAGCAUUUCAAGGGUUUAAAGCUGCAUUUCAGGGCACUUUUACCCACACCCCGGCACCAAAUAUCUCCAACGGGGGCGAGGCCAGCAGGAGGAUUGCAAUUUCCAGAAGUUCUAGGUCACAUCAAGUGCGAUAUUUCAGAUUCUCUCAGCAGACUCAUAGUAACACAAAAGGGAACCGCCCCCGCAGCAGCUUUCCUUAGCAGCAGAUCGUCCUCUCGCACAGAUUCACUUUGGAGAGAUAAGUCGAGGGCUGUGGUCACAGAGGGGAUCAAAGCAGGGCGGUGGGGUAGGAUUCACACUGCUUAGGGGUUUUGAGUCAGCUUAUGGGGAGGGGAAGGUUUGAGAAAUGGCCUCUGGGGCCACAGUGAGGGAAAGGCUCACCUUAGCUAACAAUGCUGAGGUGGGCAGGGCAGAGCAGUCCCAGGGUGGGUUGUCACUUGUCUCUUGUGCUUUCUGUAUCUUCUGUGCAUCUUCUGUAAUGUUUCUCUUGCCUUAGCCCUUCCAGGAGCUUAUAAGAAACCCCAGGUCCUUCCGUUCAUCUCCCAUCUUCGUGUUCCUCGGCCCGACGCCGGCAAAGCUUCGAUUCGGGAGCUCGGACUCGCAUCAGAAUCACAUCUGUCUUUAGAAGCAUGUGAUCAUAUGUUUCUUUAGGUCUCAUUCUCAGCUGUGUUGACAGCUAUGUGCAGCAAUGUUUCUUUAGAGUGGAUAAGGACUUGUGCCGAUUCAAAGGCAGGCAGAAGCUUCCAGCCACAGGAUUCUCAGGCAUCCAUCUCUGCGGUUCUUGGAAAAAGUUGUUCCUUUAGCAUCUUUUUCCUCCAGGGUCAUCCGAGCCCGGCAGGCUCGCCUUCGGUCCCUCCUCGGUCAUCUCGUUCAGCAUUCUCUCGGUCCUCGUGAGGACUUUCUUGUCUCAGAGUUUUCUCUCCCUGUCACGUCCCCUCGUGUCACGUGUCACGGGUGUCUGGGGGUAUUCGGUCCGGAGCUGCUCUGCCCUGCCGCCCAGCCCGGUUGUAGGUGUUUAAGGACAAGUCCCGGGGACUUGUAAUCGGAGACUUGUAGUACGGGCUGUAGUUGGAGUCUAGGUGGUAUUCUUAUGUUGGCAGAAGGUGUUUGGAGCUGUGAAGUUACCCUGCAGCACUUUGACUUUUUUCCUAACUUUCUUUCAGAUGCAGACGGUUUGACCUCGUGGCAGAGCAGCUAUCCCAGAUGAUGGGGGUCCCCCUGAGAAGGUCAGUCACGGUUUUUCUUUGCAGCGGUGCUGGAACCGGUCACUGUGUUACAUCUCUGCUCUUUGUCUUUGUUUCUAGGA
This 1512-nucleotide long non-coding RNA is filed under the name Cyanistes caeruleus (blue tit). Its description in RNAcentral is "lncRNA (ENSCCEG00000018120.1)". Lineage: Eukaryota; Metazoa; Chordata; Aves; Passeriformes; Paridae. The record is from RNAcentral.